RNAcentral lists this transfer RNA (74 nucleotides) under Loxodonta africana (African savanna elephant). It matches the Rfam family "tRNA". Rfam says of the family: Transfer RNA (tRNA) molecules are approximately 80 nucleotides in length. The record is from Rfam by way of RNAcentral. Lineage: Eukaryota; Metazoa; Chordata; Mammalia; Proboscidea; Elephantidae.
CCCUCGGUAGUGCAAACAGUUAACACACUUGGCUGCUAAUCAAAAGGUUGGCAGUUUGAAUCCACCCAGAGGAA